GUUGAGGUAGCUGGAAUGAGUAGUGUAGCGGUGAAAUGCAUAGAUAUUACUCAGAACACCGAUUGCGAAGGCAGGUUACCAAGUUAUAACUGACGCUGAGGGACGAAAGCGUGGGGAGCGAACAGGAUUAGAUACCCUGGUAGUCCACGCCGUAAACGAUGCUAACUCGUUUUUGGGCUUUAGGGUUCAGAGACUAAGCGAAAGUGAUAAGUUAGCCACCUGGGGAGUACGACCGCAAGGUUGAAACUCAAAGGAAUUGACGGGGGCCCGCACAAGCGGUGGAUCAUGUGGUUUAAUUCGAUGAUACGCGAGGAACCUUACCAAGGCUUAAAUGGGAAUUGACAGCUGUAGAAAUACGGUUUUCUUCGGACAAUUUUCAAGGUGCUGCAUGGUUGUCGUCAGCUCGUGCCGUGAGGUGUUAGGUUAAGUCCUGCAACGAGCGCAACCCCUGUCACUAGUUGCCAUCAUUAAGUUGGGGACUCUAGUGAGACUGCCUACGCAAGUAGCGAGGAAGGUGGGGAUGACGUCAAAUCAUCACGGCCCUUACGCCUUGGGCCACACACGUGAUACAAUG
Molecule: ribosomal RNA, 574 nt
Filed under: Riemerella anatipestifer
Lineage: Bacteria; Pseudomonadati; Bacteroidota; Flavobacteriia; Flavobacteriales; Weeksellaceae
Description: bacterial SSU rRNA
Rfam family: Bacterial small subunit ribosomal RNA
Source: RNAcentral